Molecule: long non-coding RNA, 1116 nt
Filed under: Brachypodium distachyon (stiff brome)
Lineage: Eukaryota; Viridiplantae; Streptophyta; Magnoliopsida; Poales; Poaceae
Description: long non-coding RNA (BDIS_LNC000274)
Source: RNAcentral
CCCAUCCAAAAAUCAUCUUGGAAUCAACUCGGCCUGUAUAAGAUUGUAAAAAAUUAUAGUAAUGGAUAAGUAAAAUAUUAAAACUUUUGAACAUGAUUUUAUAGAGUUUGCAACAUCUUAGGGGUUGGUUUUCACAUGAUCUUUUGCCGAACAAGCAUGUCCAGCAACUUUCAAAUCUUUUUUCAAAGAUAACCAACUUCUAAAAUCAUCCGCAUCUAACAGCUGGAACUGUUCAAUGGUGUUUAGUCCAGAAACACGCACACCAUAUCGACAGUGGCACGAUGUUCUUGUUCCAUAGUACAAUCUAAUGAUCUAUUCCCUUCCUACACACCACUUACAGAGAUCGGCUGGUUCAGCUACAGCUACAAACAGAGGCCACUACAAGUUUGGCAUGACGGAUGAGUGGGAGGAGUCGUCGUGCUCGGGCCUGUGGAGGUUGUGGAGGAUGUAGAGCGAAGCGGAGGAGAGGAAGAUGCAGACGGAGUAGCUGAGCAGGUCGAGCCCCGUGGCGAUCUUCACCAUCUUGCUCCGCUCGAACAUCUUCACCAGCAGGAUCAUCACGAUCACGUGCCCCACCUUCGUCUUCAGCUCGUCCAGCGACGUGAUCUUCAUCCACUUGGGCCGCUCCUGCACCCACCCAACAGUUCAUUCAGUUCCAGGUUUCUAAUUACUUCCUCUGAUUCAUAAUAAGUGUCGCGGGCCGCUCCUGCACCCACCCAACAGUUCAUUCAGUUCCAGGUUUCUAAUUACUUCCUCUGAUUCAUAAUAAGUGUCGCCGAUCUAAGUACAAGUCUGAACUUAUAGUAGAACUUGUUGAAUCACCUUGAGAGCGAACAUCCCGAAGAGGGAUGAUCCCUGCAGGGCGCGGUCGGAUUCGGAGGGCGCGUCGGUGGGGGCGUUGCUGAUGAACAGCCCGUAGAGGCCCAUCCCGAAUAUCAGCAUCACGGUGCCGGCAAGAUACACAUCUGCAUAUGCAUGGCAACGGCCAAGUACCCAAAAAAGCACCAUCAGAUUCUUCAGAGAAAUCUUAGGAAGUGACACUCGAUCGUUCUACAUCAUAUUUUAUCAGAACGGAUCGAUCGGAACAUGUAGAUGAUGAAUGUGAGCCAGCACUCA